RNAcentral lists this unclassified non-coding RNA (391 nucleotides) under soil metagenome. Its description in RNAcentral is "partial contains 5.8S ribosomal RNA, internal transcribed spacer 2, and large subunit ribosomal RNA". The stretch from base 1 to 122 matches the Rfam family "5.8S ribosomal RNA", at positions 35 to 154 of the family's 154-position model. The record is from RNAcentral.
GAUGAAGAACGUAGCGAAAUGCGAUACUUGGUGUGAAUUGCAGAAUCCCGUGAACCAUCGAGUCUUUGAACGCAAGUUGCGCCCGAAGCCACUAGGCCGAGGGCACGCCUGCCUGGGCGUCACACGCCGUUGCCCCCCCAUCUACUCCUUCGGGAUUGCGGGGGGGCGGAUGAUGGCCUCCUGUGCGCCUAGCCGCGCGGUUGGCAUAAAUACCAAGUCCUCGGCGACACACGCCACGACAAUCGGUGGUUGCGAAACCUCGGUUGCCCGUCGUGUGCGUUCGUCGCGCAUCGAGGGCUCGAAAAAAUGCUCGGCUCCGGCUGGGCUUUCAACGCGACCCCAGGUCAGGCGGGGUUACCCGCUGAAUUUAAGCAUAUCAAUAAGCGGAGGA